Molecule: long non-coding RNA, 240 nt
Organism: Hipposideros armiger (great roundleaf bat)
Lineage: Eukaryota; Metazoa; Chordata; Mammalia; Chiroptera; Hipposideridae
Exons: 3
Source: RefSeq, a predicted model, not a curated record
UGGCUACUUACCAGCAUUAACGGAAAGGGUUGUUGACAAGAAAGUCUGCAUUCAAAAUAAGCAUCAGCUACUGGGAUGCUAGUCAUGGUGCACUGAAGUCAGCUGAUGCAAGAGGACCGGGCCACCCUUGAUAAGUGUGUCCGACUCUGAGCCCCCAGCACAGCCAAGCUGUUUGAUGAGCUCAGCCACCUGGAUUCUUGCUGGCGUCUUCAUUUCCCAUCAGAAUGUCUUCCAGCCCUG